This 464-nucleotide ribosomal RNA is filed under the name Vreelandella stevensii. RNAcentral describes it as "partial 16S ribosomal RNA". It matches the Rfam family "Bacterial small subunit ribosomal RNA", at positions 338 to 795 of the family's 1533-position model. Lineage: Bacteria; Pseudomonadati; Pseudomonadota; Gammaproteobacteria; Oceanospirillales; Halomonadaceae. The record is from RNAcentral.
CCUACGGGGGGCUGCAGUGGGGAAUAUUGGACAAUGGGGGGAACCCUGAUCCAGCCAUGCCGCGUGUGUGAAGAAGGCCCUCGGGUUGUAAAGCACUUUCAGUGAGGAAGAACGCCUGGUGGUUAAUACCCAUCAGGAAAGACAUCACUCACAGAAGAAGCACCGGCUAACUCCGUGCCAGCAGCCGCGGUAAUACGGAGGUGCGAGCGUUAAUCGGAAUUACUGGGCGUAAAGCGCGCGUAGGUGGCUUGAUAAGCCGGUUGUGAAAGCCCCGGGCUCAACCUGGGAACGGCAUCCGGAACUGUCAAGCUAGAGUGCAGGAGAGGAAGGUAGAAUUCCCGGUGUAGCGGUGAAAUGCGUAGAGAUCGGGAGGAAUACCAGUGGCGAAGGCGGCCUUCUGGACUGACACUGACACUGAGGUGCGAAAGCGUGGGUAGCAAACAGGAUUAGAUACCCUUGUAGUC